Molecule: unclassified non-coding RNA, 336 nt
Filed under: soil metagenome
Description: partial contains 5.8S ribosomal RNA, internal transcribed spacer 2, and large subunit ribosomal RNA
Rfam family: 5.8S ribosomal RNA (bases 1-120)
Source: RNAcentral
GAUGAAGAACGCAGCGAAAUGCGAUAAGUAAUGUGAAUUGCAGAAUUCCGUGAAUCAUCGAAUCUUUGAACGCACAUUGCGCCCCCUGGCAUUCCGGGGGGCAUGCCUGUCCGAGCGUCAUUUCUGCCCUCAAGCACGGCUUGUGUGUUGGGUGUGGUCCCCCCGGGGACCUGCCCGAAAGGCAGCGGCGACGUCCGUCUGGUCCUCGAGCGUAUGGGGCUCUGUCACUCGCUCGGGAAGGACCUGCGGGGGUUGGUCACCACUAUAUUUUACCACGGUUGACCUCGGAUCAGGUAGGAGUUACCCGCUGAACUUAAGCAUAUCAAUAAGCGGAGG